This 249-nucleotide long non-coding RNA is filed under the name Elaeis guineensis (African oil palm). Its description in RNAcentral is "long non-coding RNA (EGUI_LNC037611)". Lineage: Eukaryota; Viridiplantae; Streptophyta; Magnoliopsida; Arecales; Arecaceae. The record is from RNAcentral.
GCCCGAAACCAUGAUGGAGGUCGGAGGACAAUUGGAUUGAGCUAAAUAAGAGGGUUUGGGGAAGCUCUUUGAGCACUUGGCUCCUCAGUGAUGGACUCCCACUUGAAGUCCAUCGGAGUCUCAAUCGACAAAGGAGAUAAGACCCCUUCAUGAGUCUGUUUUAUUGCCUUUUCUUUUUUUUUGGUUUGGGCUUGCAUUGUGCUUCUAGCCGGUCCAUCGGACCUGGACCAAUACAUUAUGGGGGAAGGG